This 72-nucleotide transfer RNA is filed under the name Prosthecobacter vanneervenii. It matches the Rfam family "tRNA". From Rfam's summary of the family: Transfer RNA (tRNA) molecules are approximately 80 nucleotides in length. Their secondary structure includes four short double-helical elements and three loops (D, anti-codon, and T loops). RNAcentral also lists the same sequence under 1 other name. The record is from Rfam by way of RNAcentral. Lineage: Bacteria; Pseudomonadati; Verrucomicrobiota; Verrucomicrobiia; Verrucomicrobiales; Verrucomicrobiaceae.
GCCCAUGUAGUCCAACGCAGAGACAACCGCCUCAGAAGCGGUCCAGUGCGGGUGCGAGUCCUGCCAUGGGCA